This 177-nucleotide ribosomal RNA is filed under the name uncultured bacterium. RNAcentral's name for it is "partial 16S ribosomal RNA". It matches the Rfam family "Bacterial small subunit ribosomal RNA", at positions 335 to 526 of the family's 1533-position model. The record is from RNAcentral.
ACUCCUACGGGAGGCAGCAGUGGGGAAUCUUGCACAAUGGAGGAAACUCUGAUGCAGCGACGCCGCGUGAGCGAUGAAGCCCUUCGGGGUGUAAAGCUCUUUCGACGGGAACGAUAAUGACGGUACCCGAAGAACGAACGCUGCGGCUAACUACGUGCCAGGCAGCCGCGGUAAUUC